AGUCAACAUGCCCAGGGGACGUGGAUAACCUCGGGAAACUGAGGAUAAACCGCGAUAGGCCAAGAUUUCUGGAAUGGAUCAUGGCUUAAAUCUAUAUGGCCCCUGGAUUGGACUGCGGCCGAUCAGGCUGUUGGUGAGGUAAUGGCCCACCAAACCUGUAACCGGUACGGGCUCUGAGAGGAGGAGCCCGGAGAUGGGCACUUAGACAAGGGCCCAGGCCCUAUGGGGCGCAGCAGGCGCGAAACCUCUGCAAUAAGCGAAAGCUUGACAGGGUUACUCUGAGUGAUUUCCGCUAAGGAAGUCUUUUGGCACCUCUAAAAAUGGUGCAGAAUAAGGGGUGGGCAAGUCUGGUGUCAGCCGCCGCGGUAAUACCAGCACCCCGAGUGGUCGGGACGAUUAUUGGGCCUAAAGCAUCCGUAGCCGGUCCUGCAAGUCCUCCGUUAAAUCCACCCGCUCAACGGUUGGGCCGCGGGGGAUACUACAGGGCUAGGAGGCGGGAGAGGCAAGCGGUACUCGAUGGGUAGGGGUAAAAUCCACUGAUCCAUUGAAGACCACCAGUGGCGAAGGCGGCUUGCCAGAACGCGCUCGACGGUGAGGGAUGAAAGCUGGGGGAGCAAACCGGAUUAGAUACCCGGGUAGUCCCAGCUGUAAACGAUGCAGACUCGGUGAUGGGCUGGCUUCGUGCCAACCCGGUGCCGCAGGGAAGCCGUUAAGUCUGCCGCCUGGGGAGUACGGUCGCAAGACUGAAACUUAA
This 754-nucleotide ribosomal RNA is filed under the name uncultured archaeon. RNAcentral describes it as "bacterial SSU rRNA". It matches the Rfam family "Archaeal small subunit ribosomal RNA", at positions 102 to 859 of the family's 1478-position model. The record is from RNAcentral.